Daphnia pulex (common water flea) is the source of this 774-nucleotide long non-coding RNA. RefSeq lists it as uncharacterized. The transcript is spliced from 2 exons. The record is from RefSeq and is a predicted model, not a curated record. NCBI's taxonomy places the organism in Eukaryota, Metazoa, Arthropoda, Branchiopoda, Diplostraca, Daphniidae.
UUUUGUCAAACACGGAGGUACCGUUCGCAUGCAUUCGUCUUCAAGAAAGCGAGCAGCGUGGUUGAAGUUUAAGCGGCCUUGCACAGUGAAAACGCCAACUGUCUCGUUAGUCAGAGAGAGCGCGAUUUUAGUGCCAAGAAAAAAAAGGACGAAACGAAAAGAAAUAAUCAAGAACGGAUUCCAGUGUGGCAUUAUCAUUCCUACUUUCUAAAGAAGAUCUACGGAAUCUGUUUUUCGUCAAUCUCAGUUCUGGGGGUAUCGCGGCAUAACCUGUUCUUUUAAACUUCAAUGGUGAUGACAGCUUCUGUUCUCCAGGAAAGUGGAGAAAAACAGACUAAAAUACAGAGAUCGAACAAUAAACUUAUUUGCUGUUCUUUGCGAUUGAUGGUGAAAACAUAGAGCUUUUUAAUGGAGAUCAGGGAAGCUUGUCCUUCUUGUCCAUUCCGGAUUAAGAGUGCACUAAUAGCAAAAUUCAUCAUUCUACUUCUUGUGACAGCAACAUUAACUGAAGGGGCGCCUAUUCCCGGUCACUAUUUGGAGGAAACACCAGGAGAGGAUCGGUCUUACCAUAUUCACAAUUUCGUGAAGAGAAUGCAUAAGCUAUUCAGUUUAAUACAGUUUACAAUAAGGCAUAAUCUUGGCAUGUUUUGAAAAAUGUAAAUUAUUGUCCAUACAAACCACUGAGUGAUUUCAGUCAACUGAUUUUAUUUUCUAAAUGUAUCUUAAGAACUUUGAGAGAUGUCUUACCUCCAAUAAAUUCAUUUUGUACAAGGA